Small nucleolar RNA from Meriones unguiculatus (Mongolian gerbil), 153 nucleotides. Lineage: Eukaryota; Metazoa; Chordata; Mammalia; Rodentia; Muridae. The record is from Ensembl.
AGUGCACACUGUUAAAGCUCAGAUUGGAGGCCAGUCUUGGCCAGUGAGCUUCUGAGUGUUGGAGGUGAGCUACAUUGAGAUGGCAGGAUUUUUGCUAACACCAGUAGAGCCUGCCUCAAUGACUGGAGUUUGGUAGAGGUCACUGCUACAUAC